This 214-nucleotide unclassified non-coding RNA is filed under the name Cylindrosympodium lauri. RNAcentral describes it as "partial internal transcribed spacer region". The stretch from base 1 to 46 matches the Rfam family "Eukaryotic small subunit ribosomal RNA", at positions 1786 to 1831 of the family's 1831-position model. The record is from RNAcentral. Lineage: Eukaryota; Fungi; Ascomycota; Dothideomycetes; Venturiales; Cylindrosympodiaceae.
AAGUCGUAACAAGGUUUCCGUAGGUGAACCUGCGGAAGGAUCAUUACUGGGCUACGAGCGUCCGCGCUCACCCCCACCCUGUGCUUCGACCGAAACGCGCUCGGCGCUGUGGCCCCCCUUGGGGGGUCCUGCCGGACUACAACCCUGAACAACUGUGAAGCCUGAAGUUAAAAGCAAACAGUUAAAACUUUCAACAACGGAUCUCUUGGUUCUG